UUCUCAACAAAGUUGCAAAACUAUGUUUGAUAUGUAACAGUUCCAAACGGAGGUGAGACUUCACAUAACUGAAUGAUCCUUCAUACAAUCAAAUGAACAAACAAAUAAAUCCAGACUCAUAGAAAAGUAGAUGUCAAAGGAAAGUGUAGGCGAAAACCUUUUAUUUUUCUGUGUGCAGGAGUUGUUUUUUAAUGGAGGAACAUUCAAUCAUGUGAGCCCACCUGCAAGUCUGAACUUGUACAACACAAAGCUUUACUAGCUUGUCAUUUUAAAAGGUGUUUAUCCACACGCUGGACACUCACAUUUACUUCCAGGAUUCUCUGAAAACAUAUAAUGGAGAACCCAGGAACUUCCAUACUAUAUUCUGACGGGAUGCAAGAAAGGCAAAGAAAAGAAAAAGAUAAGUAAAUUGUGCAAAUUACCCAUUUUCAGGAGCCAUAGGACUGCAAUUAGAAGUGGCAUUCAGAUUGCACAGCGUGGGCAUUUAGCAAGAACUUGGAGUUUUGAGCUAAAGCAGGCUGGAUGUCAAUUUGUGAUUGCAGCUAAACCUGAUCAUUCCACACAGAGAGACACAUGCCAUCUAUAUAAAGCUCUUUUCUGUAUUUGGUGUAUUCAUGCUUAUAUAUUUCAUUCUAGCAGCUAGACUUUUAAAAUGACUUUUUCAGGUAGCUGCACUCAUACUCUGCAGUUGGUACAUAAUUGCCAGGAGGAUCUGGAGGAAGGAAAAUACUGCUGAGUUAUGCAAGUGCACACCUAUGACUGUGUUUUAAGAGACAAUGUAUGACUUGCUUGUUCUGAGUUUUCCUGGAUUUUUAAGUGCCCGACAGAAUGAUGUUCUGUGAUGUUUGUUUAUAUCCAUUACCAUACUGCUGAAAGCUGAUUUUGUGCAGCUUUUAGAGCUGUUUUGUGCUUUGCUUUUAUUUAACACUUUGAGAAUUAUUGCACUAAGGGGCAUAAGAGUCUAGACAGAUGGAGAUGGUUGUAUUUUGUUGCGGGAAUAUGACACACAGUUCCCAUUGCUCUAUGGUCCACAUUACUCCCUUCCUGGAAGUACCAAAAGAGGUACUUUUGAAUUGUGCUUGCUCUCUCCUGUUAAAAAGAAUACCACUACCAACAACUAUUCUAUUCUUUUCUUCAGAAGCCCCUACAGUGAUGAACCCCAGGACCUCUGGGAGGAAGUCCAUUCAAAGAUAGGAAGGACAGGAGAAGGUGCUACCACUGAGAGACCUCUCAAAUACUUGGAAAAUCUCUCCAAAUUGUCUCCUGACCUGACCAGUGGGAGAAUCAACACAGGAAACUAAAAUGAAAGCUGGGCAUCUUAAAGAACAAACUGCAUGCUCAGAAAAGCAUUCAGAACCCUUGAAGGGAAUGUUUUGUUAAUCAAGGAGAUCAAUGUUGGCAUGGGAUACAUGGCCAUUGCUUAUCUUCAGGACCUUCCUUCUUGUUUCAGACUUAGGAAUCAGAAGACUCAGAGCAGGAAGACUCGCCUGCUAGUGAGCCACAGCAGCAAGAUUCGGCAGAGAAACCAGACUCGGAACCUGAGGAUUCUCAACAGCUGCCAGACUUGAAUUCUGAUGUGGAAGAGCCUGGGAUUCCACCUAUAGUGAGACGAAGUAUCAAGAGGCAGGCUCAGAGGGACUCACGCAGGUGCAGGAGAUAACAGGGAAGAAAGCCUUUUGACUCAGGGAAGGCUGAUUGGUUCCUGGUUCUGUUGAGUCAUAUAUAUUCAACAGUCUCUCAUGGCUGAGUUGCUGUUUGCAACUUCGCUGGCAGCAGAUACUGUGCUCUUGGAAUUAUAUCUUUUCUGUGAUCCAGUUUGUCUUGUCUGUACUUCCCUGUAUUGUUCCCUUAAUUCCUUGUUCUGUGUCCUUCACUUAUUUCAUUCCUUGUUUUGUCUUUUCUUCCACUUAUUACUCAGUUAUUGUUAGAGCGGGGUACCUAGUUUCAGUUCAGGGGACUUUAUUCAUUUAAUGUUUUCUUUGCGAGCCUUUUAUUUUCCUUCAUCCAUUUUCGUUACUGCUUUCUGUUUACUCUCUCACUGGGGGUUGUAAAUCCUGUAGAGAUAGCCGGGCUAGCAGUUCAUGCUUUCAUGACAAUUUUACUGUGCUUUUUGUUAACACUAUUCAGCCUCAUUUAAGAUUUCUUUACUUCUUGAGCUGAGCUUCAGUGAGGGGGGGCCAUUUUAAAAUCUUGUCUCUGGGCCCACUCCAACCUUGCUAUGCCACUGGGCAAAGCUGGUGGAUGAUUAGGGCACCAAAGCUUGGGGGGCCUGGAUGUGGAAUGCAGAUGACUUCCAGUGUUGCCUUUUCAAGAACAUCUGGUAUUGCCCUUUUAAGAACUUCUCUUAGGUCAGGAGACUUUUUAUGUCUUUCAACAUUCUCUUCUCCAAUAUGUUUCUCCCCACUCUCCAUGGCUUACUGAUUCUUCGGGUGGCUGCUCUCUUCCCUCACCCCUAUCCAAUUCAGGGAUGGGGAUGCUCCCCUCAGUCCUCUCCCCCGGUUCUGACCCUGCCGUUUCCUGCAAUGAAGCAAUGGUCCUGAAAAAGCAGGGCAGUUCAGGGUUGAGAAGGAAAACUGAGAAAGAAACUGUUCAGAGUUGAGAAGGAAAGUUUGGCAUUCUGUGCCUGGGAUGGGGACAGGGGAUCAGAGGGGCCCCUUGGGAGGUAGGCAUGCAUGCAGGAAGGAAAGGAGGUGAGUGCUUAUUGGCUUGGGGUUGGGAUGACAGGGGUAACAGAAGAAGGUAGGGAAGAGAGGAAGAAUAAAAGGGAGAAGAAUAUUUCCAUCAGCCAUCUAAAAUGGGAAACUUUCAAAGUGGAAAGAUUUGGGAGGUGGGAGCCUAGAGACUUUGAUUGAGGAGGGAGAUGUCUCCUUCCCCUGAAAAUGGAUGCCCAGAAGCAUCCAUGUAAAUCACACUCAUGCCAUCUUCUGAUCCACAGCCCUAAUUACUUGAAAUGCUUAGUUUUAAUCUGAUGCAGUCUCAUUCACUUUAUUUAUUUGGGACUUAUUAUGGGCACUGUUAUGCACAUUUAGGCUUAGAACCCUGUAGACCAAUCCCAUGCAUGUUUACUUGAAAAGCCAUCCCACUGAGUUCAAUAAGACUUACUCCCAAGUACAGGUAUUAUUUCUCUUUGUAAGCCACUCUGAGCCAUUUUUGGAAGGGCAGUAUAGAAAUUGAAUAAAUAAAUAGCUAGCCACACUGGCUCAGGGCUUGAGGGCUGGGGAGGAGGAUGUUACUGGACUUGCACAAGUUUUCCACCUCUAUUAUAGUGGGCAACAGCCAGUAUGCAGCAAUCCUAACUAAAUUUUAUAUAUUGUCUAGUAACAAGGAGGAGCUUGCCCCCAUGUGUGCAUGCACUGCUUCUGGCUGUGGGGAAUACUCUGUGCUUCUCAGUUGGGUGUGUGUAAAUGCCAAAGUCAUACUUUACCUAAGGUGCCAAAAACUCUAAGGCUGGCCCUUGUAAUGGGUAUGAUCCAGAUCUAUUACAAUAAAUGCAAGUUUUGUAAUUCGAGUGUGAGCGGGAAAUAAUAGCCUUUAUGGUCACCACCAGCUGUAAGGUAGUCCCACUGAACAUUACAAAAAGGUCUCACUCGCCCCUGAAAUUUCUCCUGUUUUGUUCAGUUUGAAGAGUGAGUGCGCAAAUACACCAUGCAAGCCUUCCCUGGGCAUACUGAUAAGUUGCAGUUCUAUAAUGAUGUAUUAUAUUUACAAAAAAAAAGCAGGUCUUGUCAGUAGAUUACGUACAGUGCACUGGGCCCCGAAAAUCCUUAUGGCAACCUAGCUAGCCUCAAGAUGAAGAACAAGCCAAGGCAAAGGUACAAUCCAAGGCAAGGGUACUGUUCUAACUGGUGACAUGGAUGGUUAACAUUAGCAGAUUCUCUUCUGUGACUUUUAAGAUCAUGACAGGACAUAGAAGAUGAAGCAACCUUAGAAAUGUAGAGCCCAAACUUAUAGAAAGCUUUUGACAAGUGAAUGUGGCAAGUUGCUAACAUUCUUCUUUUACUAGACUUUGGAUAUGGAAAUCCAGAAAAAUCCCAUUUUAAAUGGACCACAAUUGCUUAUUAGUGCUAUUGAUGUUUCUGAAAAUGUGUACACUCUUGAGCUGAUGCAGAGUCACUUGCAUAAUAUUCCCUUUGUGUUCAGUAGAAGGCCUCAUUCAGCUGCCCUGCCUGGUCAUUUGUCACAGUAUUAUUACUACAAGUAUUACACCUGUGACAUUCUGUACUGGAAAAUACAGUUGAAUACGUUUGAGUUUUGUUCUGUAUACUGUGAUUUAAAGUCAGCUCUCACUGCUAAACAAAUACACCAUAACUCAUAAUGUAGUCGAAGGUGAGAACAAAGAACACCACCUCUGGAGACAGAAAAAAAAAAGUACCUCUGCUAAGGCUUUUUGAAUGCUGAAAUUGCCUCAAUAAGUACAACAAAUGAAUUGGUAUAUAAAGUGCUGCAUAAACCACAGCACACCACAUUCUCUCUGAAUGUGUUUAUUUGAAGUUCCGUAUCUUUAAGUGCUACAUUCAUUUUCCACAGUGCAAUUUAGAAGCACAAUUCUCCUCAGUAGACCUAUCCAAUUACUCUACUUCUCUCUCGGGUCUUAAUUUCUAUUUAGGCAAGAAAUAAAGUAAUGACUUCAUUGCAACUAUAUGUGCAAGUGUGUGAGACUAGAAGUUUUAAUAGGUGCAAAAAAUUAGCAGACUAUUUAAUUUACUGUAAAACAGCAGCAAAGGCUACAACCACAUGCAAAAGAGACACCUCAGCUGCAUACGUUGGAGAAUCACAAAUAAAGUACAGGUGGCCCUUGUUAUCCACGGUUUCAAAAACUGCAAUUUUGCAUAUCUGCGGGUAGGUCUUAGAGACCCAGUUUCAUUAUCUACUGUAUUAAAAAUAGGCAAUUUUUACCUAUCCGCAGUACCUGGGCCACCAGAAAUGACUUACAGUAUCAUUUCUGGUGGCAUUUCCUGUCCGGAGGUAGCGCAGAGCCAUUUUGUGGCUCGUGUUCCCCUGCCCCACAAAACCCCAUGAAAAUCAGCAAGAAAUCAGCUGAUGUGGAAGGGGGGGGCAUUACUAGAGAGCUGGAACUAUAUGUUCUGUACAACUUUUAUUUCUGCUUCACUCUCGCAUUUAUUUGUGAUUCUGGGCAAUUUUAUUUGUGUGCAGGAACCCAACUCCCAUAUUCCCAGAGUUCAGGUUUCAUUAUUUGCGGUUUCCAUAUUCAUGAAUGUAGGCAAGAAUGGAACCCCUGCUAAUAAUGAGAGCCUCCUACAUAUUCAGAAGAUAAUUCUGGUUGAAUUAAUCUUGGUCAACUACCACUCCUUUGUUCUGUGCUCCCAAACAUUAAAGCAGAUUAGAAGUACUCCUUAGAUAAGAAUGUGCUGAAAGAAUAAAUCCGUCUGUAUAUUCUGCAAUCAUUCUGCUUGUAAAUAUGAAUGGGUAACUGAAAAUGUUUGAAAAGUCUAACUAUGUUAAGUGAACUUGACAAUCUCGAUACUGAAAAUUCAACCAAAAAAUAGUGGGUGCAGUCCAAAUCUGUUCAAAUCAGUUGAACUUUUUGGUGCUUAUUUUAUUAGGCAGAAGAUGGUAUUUUCAGGCACAGCUGCUCUGGUAUUUAAUAAAUUGUUCCGUCUGCUUUU
Molecule: long non-coding RNA, 5627 nt
Organism: Hemicordylus capensis (graceful crag lizard)
Lineage: Eukaryota; Metazoa; Chordata; Lepidosauria; Squamata; Cordylidae
Exons: 3
Source: RefSeq, a predicted model, not a curated record